This 352-nucleotide long non-coding RNA is filed under the name Phoenix dactylifera (date palm). RNAcentral describes it as "long non-coding RNA (PDAC_LNC013231)". The record is from RNAcentral. Lineage: Eukaryota; Viridiplantae; Streptophyta; Magnoliopsida; Arecales; Arecaceae.
UUUAUCUUAACAAUUUAAUUGAGAAAUUUAUGUGUUUUAUUAAGAAUAUUGUUAAGAAAUGUCUAGGCAAGUUCCCAUAAUUUUUAUGAAUUUAUUGAAGAAUUUUUUUUGAGAUGAAAGAAAAAGUUCAGGGACAACCGAGACGUCUCCUGAUAGUCUCAGAGACGUCUCUGGCACAAACAGGAAGAACUGGCACACUUGGAGACGUCCCCGGCACCUGCCGAGUCGUCCCCACGACAGCGGAGUCGACUCUCUCAGUAGCGGAGUCGACUCUCUCAGUGGCGGCAGAAAGGCAGUUUUCAAGAGAUAUGCGCGAGACGUCCCCACAGCAAGCAGAGUCGUCCCCACAAAU